Molecule: long non-coding RNA, 1279 nt
Filed under: Daucus carota (carrot)
Lineage: Eukaryota; Viridiplantae; Streptophyta; Magnoliopsida; Apiales; Apiaceae
Description: long non-coding RNA (DCAR_LNC003689)
Source: RNAcentral
CUAACAGACAUGUUACCAACACUUUGCCAACCAUUUUAUUACCAAAUUCCCAGCACUUUACCAAUAGAAUUUUAAUUAUUUCCAGUAUAAACACCACAAAUAUAAUGUUUCCAAGGACCGUACAUUAUAAGAUAUUUAAAGAAUAUAAAGAAAUAGCAAGAACAAAUGUAUAAUAAUCUCCAGAUUGAGCGGAAACACGUCCAGAUUGCAGAUGAUGCUAAGAUUGAGCUUGUAUUUGACGUCCACAUUGAGCAGGUAACCAAUGUCCGGAUUGAGCUAGUAACCGUUGUCCAGACUGAACAGGUAGCCUCUGUACAGAUUGACCUGAUAUAUUUUCAGCAUUAUUCCUCAACUUCUCUUGUCUGAAAUAUAAAAGAUAAUGGAUUAUCGGGCAAGAUAAUUGCAAACGAAAUUAUGUUAGUACAUUUAGUAAAAGAAGUGCUAACAGACAUGUUACCAACACUUUGCCAACCAUUUUAUUACCAAAUUCCCAGCACUUUACCAAUAGAAUUUUAAUUAUUUCCAGUAUAAACACCACAAAUAUAAUGUUUCCAAGGACCGUACAUUAUAAGAUAUUUAAAGAAUAUAAAGAAAUAGCAAGAACAAAUGUAUAAUAAUCUCCAGAUUGAGCGGAAACACGUCCAGAUUGCAGAUGAUGCUAAGAUUGAGCUUGUAUUUGACGUCCACAUUGAGCAGGUAACCAAUGUCCGGAUUGAGCUAGUAACCGUUGUCCAGACUGAACAGGUAGCCUCUGUACAGAUUGACCUGAUAUAUUUUCAGCAUUAUUCCUCAACUUCUCUUGUCUGAAAUAUAAAAGAUAAUGGAUUAUCGGGCAAGAUAACACUAAAAAUCAAAUAAAACCAUAAUGCAAGGUGUUCAAUGCCAUUUUAAUGCAGUUGUCUGCCAUGGAUAAAAAUGCAAAGCAUAAUAUAGUGUUUAUUUGAAAAUGCAUGGCUACAUGAUAUCUGAAAAUAGACUUAUCAUUCUUGUCUCAACCUUCUGACUUAAAACUAAUAUUCACUUAUGCAAAUAGUUACAUUUCAACAGAUUCAAAAUCAUAAAAAAAAAAAAAAAACNAAUAGUUACAUUUCAACAGAUUCAAAAUCAUAAAAAAAAAAAAAAAACAUUCAUCUCUUACUGCCAAUGUCCUAAUAGUACAGAGCUCUUAAAAAAAUGCAAUACUGCCAAGAUUUAAGGACUGAAAAUAGUCUACAUUUAAAGUCCUCUGUCACAGAAAUUAAGAUUAUAAUGAAAAUAUAGUCAACUUAAAUGACUUACU